This is an RNA transcript of Gopherus evgoodei (Goodes thornscrub tortoise), 2463 nucleotides long. It is a transcript of the gene named misato mitochondrial distribution and morphology regulator 1, with no coding region annotated. The record is from RefSeq and is a predicted model, not a curated record. The transcript is spliced from 17 exons. Lineage: Eukaryota; Metazoa; Chordata; Testudines; Testudinidae.
UAAGCCCCGCCCCCAGCCCGUCCUGGGGCUUGUGGUCGAAGCAUGUUCGAGGCGGGUGGGACGCCGCGGGCGGCGCUGACGCUACAGCUGGGCAGUUACGCGGGGUUCGUGGGCGCGCACUGGUGGAACCUGCAGGAUGCUGCGUUGCGCUGCGAAUCAGAGGUGCAUGAGCAGGAGUGCAAGGUCUGCCCCGAUGUGCUGUACCGGGCUGGGCGGACCCUCAGUGGGCAAGAGACAUACACACCUCGACUCAUCCUUAUGGACUUGAAAGGAAGCCUGAACUCUCUGAAACAAGAGGGAUAUUUAUAUGGGGACAUGAAGAUAGACACCUCGGUAGCAUGGCAGGGUAAUCUGAUGACUCAUCAAGAAGAGCCUCCUGCAAAGAACCUUUUUCUACAGGACCUCAGCAAACUGGAGGGAGGCAUGUCCUCUGAUGGAGACUUCAGUCCCAGAGCUCUUCCUCUCAGUAAAGAUGUAUCUCAGCUCCCUACACAGUUGCAUGUUUCCCAAAAGGGUCACCAGUUGGAAGGCAGUGUGCGGGUUUGGUCUGAUUACCUCCGAGUGCGUCUGCAUCCUAGAAGCAUCUUCAUGAUAAAUCAGUACAACGAUGAUGGGGAGUCCAGUCAACUCGAAGCCUUUGGACAAGGGGAAAGCCUCCUGCAUGACCCCACUUACCUAGAGGAGCUGGAAGAUAGAUUGCACUUCUACGUGGAAGAGUGUGAUUAUCUGCAGGGUUUUCAGAUUCUCUGUGACUUGAACAAUGGAUUUUCUGGAGUUGGAGCUAAGGUGACAGAACUUCUCCAUGAUGAGUAUUCAGGGAGAGGAAUUCUGACAUGGGGAUUGACUCCAGUCAUUGAUAACGUUGGGGUGUCCUGGAAGGAUUUUUACAGGCUGAUGAACACAGUCCUGGGAAUUGUCCAUCUCUCCAGUCACAGCUCACUCUUUUGCCCACUGUCACUCAAUGGAAGUCUGGGACUCAAACCAGAAGCCCCUGUUACACUCCCAUAUGUACAUUAUGAUGCCUCUCUAAACUUUCAUAGCAGUGCAAUCUUGGCAACAGCAAUGGAUACCUUCAGUGUUCCAUACAGACUCCAUUCCUCCCAGUUCUCCAUGGUACAGCUUGCUGAUGCAUUUAACAGCUCUGGGAGAAAGGUUGUGGCUGCAGGAGCUGCUGUGCCCUUUCCUAUAUCAUAUGGUCAGUCUCUCCCAGAUGCUUUGUGCAGCUACCAGCUUGCAGUGCCAUGGACACCAUUGUCUUCAUGUGGGGAGCAAAAGGACAGCUGCUGUUUUGCUCAGUCUGUUGUGCUGAGAGGAAUUGGCAAAGAAAGUCAUAUCAGUAAUCUUCCUCCAGGGUCACAACCCAAGUCUGCCCUCCAUGUUUGUGAAACUGGAGAGGAGGUUCUGGGAAGCUACUUACAUGCUCGGUGCCCAGGGACAUUCAGCACCUCAUAUUUGCUUCAGGGCCCAUGUAAAGUGUUAGCCCCAUACCCCCAAUUUUUCUCUGCUCUUCUAAACAAGCAAGGUUUCCUCCUGGACAAGCUUCCCAGCUGCACAACAGCUGUUGAAAGCAUUCCUGUCCUAACAGCACUGCAAUCAUCACCUACUCUGCACAGUGCUCUCUACAGUUUAUAUAAGGAGCUGCACCGAGUGGAUGUACGGCGCUGGGCUAGCUUUUUCUCUGCAGGAGGACAGUAGACUUGAAGUAAAGAUUGCUAACAUUGUGGGGCAACAAGUCCACAAUGAGAACGUCUGUCUCUCAAUAAGACUGUUUGGUGCAGCGAGGAAGAUGGUAAUUGCUGCCUGUACGGUGGUGGCCAUCCUGCCUUGACAUAUAAACUGCAACUAGCAGCCCCAGUGUCACACAGCCAAUAUUCUAACCAGCUGAAUUAAACCGUUCAAGCCAACAGCACUAAAAGAAUUGUGUGUGCAAUAUCAGCUCUGUGGAAGGAUGGAGCAGCUGCAUUUGACUCUAAUCUGCCUAUCAUUUGGCUAAGAGAAAGUUAUGACAAAAAUUUCCAAAACAAUCCAUUCAGAAUGCUUUUUAAUUUUGCAAUUUCAUAGUUCAAGUCCCUAGUCUUGUUAGUAGAACCAUCGCAACCAAAAGAAAAUGUCUUUGAUGCAUCACUCAAACCACUGGAACAGAUUUUUCCCAUCUAUUGUUGCUUUCCUGAUGGAUUUCCAAAGCUUGAAACAUCUGCAAACAUAUCAUGCAUUCCAGACUACCAAGCUAAGCAAUCCUGUACAAAUCCCUACGAUGUGAUCUUACUGUGUCACUUUUCAUGGCUUAAGUAGAAAAAGAUAGCCAAUAAUAUUGAGGUCAUUGCUUAAAGACAUGUUAGAAACAGUGCUGCAAAACAACACUAAAUUCCAUUUCAAAUCAUAGCAAAAAAUCUGGAAUCCAUCUCAUUUGAGGGGAGGGCAUCAUGCAAAAGGCUAUUACUACCCUACAAACCUGCCCCUUCA